AGGAAAAAAGAGAAUUGAUUCUUUGGGACGGAAGGCAAUAAAGGCCUUUGUCUCCCCUUCCAGUGCAUUUGUUUGCCGAAGUAAAUGAACUUACUUAAACUGAUAGAGAUGCUUUCUUCAUAUCUGAAAAGAAUAUAUCGCACUACUUUAGAAAGCAGUAUAAAUCACUUAUCUUCUACUGAAACACAAACUGUGGCCCAGCUCUUUAAAAGAAGACACGUGAUAGAUUGAUCUUGG
RNAcentral lists this unclassified non-coding RNA (237 nucleotides) under Hevea brasiliensis (rubber tree). Lineage: Eukaryota; Viridiplantae; Streptophyta; Magnoliopsida; Malpighiales; Euphorbiaceae. The record is from RNAcentral.